This 468-nucleotide ribosomal RNA is filed under the name uncultured bacterium. RNAcentral's name for it is "partial 16S ribosomal RNA". It matches the Rfam family "Bacterial small subunit ribosomal RNA", at positions 28 to 507 of the family's 1533-position model. The record is from RNAcentral.
GACGAACGCUGGCGGCGUGCUUAACACAUGCAAGUCGAACGGAAAGGCCCUGCUCUUGUGGGGUGCUCGAUUGGCGAACGGGUGAGUAACACGUGAGUAACCUGCCCUUGUCUUUGGGAUAACUUCAGGAAACUGGGGCUAAUACCGGAUAGGAGCUCCUGCUGCAUGGUGGGGGUUGGAAAGUUUCGGCGGUUGGGGAUGGACUCGCGGCUUAUCAGCUUGUUGGUGGGGUAGUGGCUUACCAAGGCUUUGACGGGUAGGCGGCCUGAGAGGGUUACCGGCCACAUUGGGACUGAGAGACGGCCCAGACGCCUACGGGAGGCAGCAGUGGGGAAUAUUGCACAAUGGGCGGAAGCCUGAUGCAGCAACGCCGCGUGCGGGAUGACGGCCUUCGGGUUGUAAACCGCUGUCGCCUGUGACGAAGCGUGAGUGACGGUAAUGGGUAAAGAAGCACCGGCUAACUACGUG